Molecule: transfer RNA, 76 nt
Filed under: Chitinophaga lutea
Lineage: Bacteria; Pseudomonadati; Bacteroidota; Chitinophagia; Chitinophagales; Chitinophagaceae
Description: Chitinophaga sp. ZY74 tRNA-His
Rfam family: tRNA
About the family: Transfer RNA (tRNA) molecules are approximately 80 nucleotides in length. Their secondary structure includes four short double-helical elements and three loops (D, anti-codon, and T loops).
Source: RNAcentral
GUGACCAUAGCUCAGUUGGUUAGAGCAUCAGAUUGUGGUUCUGAGGGUCGGGGGUUCGAGACCCCUUGGUCACCCA